GCAGUGGUGGUUCAGUGGUAGAAUCCUCACCUUCUGUGAGAGAGACCCAGGUUUGAUUCCCGGCCAGGGCA
RNAcentral lists this transfer RNA (71 nucleotides) under Loxodonta africana (African savanna elephant). It matches the Rfam family "tRNA". Rfam says of the family: Transfer RNA (tRNA) molecules are approximately 80 nucleotides in length. Their secondary structure includes four short double-helical elements and three loops (D, anti-codon, and T loops). The record is from Rfam by way of RNAcentral. Lineage: Eukaryota; Metazoa; Chordata; Mammalia; Proboscidea; Elephantidae.